This 232-nucleotide ribosomal RNA is filed under the name uncultured bacterium. RNAcentral's name for it is "partial 16S ribosomal RNA". It matches the Rfam family "Bacterial small subunit ribosomal RNA", at positions 99 to 334 of the family's 1533-position model. The record is from RNAcentral.
CGGACGGGUGAGUAAUGUCUGGGAAACUGUCUGAUGGAGGGGGAUAACUACUGGAAACGGUAGCUAAUACCGCAUAACGUCGCAAGACCAAAGAGGGGGACCUUCGGGCCUCUUGCCAUCGGAUGUGCCCAGAUGGGAUUAGCUAGUAGGUGGGGUAACGGCUCACCUAGGCGACGAUCCCUAGCUGGUCUGAGAGGAUGACCAGCCACACUGGAACUGAGACACGGUCCAG